Ictalurus punctatus (channel catfish) is the source of this 1430-nucleotide long non-coding RNA. RefSeq lists it as uncharacterized. Lineage: Eukaryota; Metazoa; Chordata; Actinopteri; Siluriformes; Ictaluridae. The record is from RefSeq and is a predicted model, not a curated record. The transcript is spliced from 3 exons.
UCAGCCAAACUCUUUUAAUGUCCGGUUUCCAUUAAAACAAUCUUAAGACACCAAACUCUACUUAAUAAAGGAGUUUGAAAGCUUAAUGUUGCCGAAAUUCCAUAAACAAUGACUGGACCGUCUUUAUAUAUGCCUCAUGGAUGUAUGUAUGUGUUUGCCCCAGAGGGAGCAUUUAUAAUUACCCACAUAAUUACGGCUUUUUAUCGAGUCUCCAGACUGAGGUCCUGCUUUAAGGCUACACCACAGGUCAGGAUGGAUCUUUUGCUGGAAUCGUGUCCGGGGGAAAAAAACAAAAAAAACAAAAAACAUGGACAUGCCAUGCAAAGAGGCGAAAUGGAAAUAUUAUGCUUUCUUUCUUUAUCACCGCGGCAUUAAUUUGUCUGUCGGACCCUGCAAUCAGGCAGCGCCGGCUCCGAAGGAGGUCGAUGCCCGAACCUAUCAACUGCUGUGAUGUGAAAUGUGAAAGUGUGAUGAGCGCCAGAGAAAGCACCGACUCUAUUCAUAGCACGAGCUUGCCCAGGCCUUUGAAUGGACCACAGGAAGCCCCUUCAUGGCUCCAGUAAACACAGUCAUCCACAUGUUUUCCGACUGGCUCUGAGUGACGCGAGCCGACUUACGAGAUACAGAGGAGGGAAGUUUCCCAUCAGAAAGCCGUGACAGGGGCUCAGACAGCGGCGGGGUGCAGCAGGCUGACCGAAAUGACAAGCCACAGUAAAACCAAGAGCCCUGCUGAACCCGGUGUUCUUCAAGCCUGCAGCUCAGGAUUCAACUCCGAAGGCCUGUAGUGUAUGUAUGUGUAGGUGUGUGUGUGUGUGUGAGGGUGUGUAAGAUGGAGUUGACAAGGCCCGCUUGUCCCGGCGCUCUGUAUCGAGUUACCAAACACGCCUUUCAUGGACGAAUUCUCCGACCAGCCUACGUUCAAAAGGCCGCCAAAUUAGAGAGAGCUGACAGCUGAAGUUCGAGAGCCGUGAUAAGUCAGCGUUCGUCCAAAACUCAGAGACGACGAGACCGGGAGAGGAGCUGGGAGCCGGGUGGCCAGGCGAUAAACCACAAAGAGUCAACUCCUCUGUCCUUAUCAGCACCAUUUCGCCAAUGCCGAGCGUCCACCGUACAAGUACAUGUGUACGUCGUGACUACAGAAACGUAUUCGUAUUCAAAUGAGCUUAUUAGUCAACGCCUUCUGACCAAUCAGGAUCGAGAAUUCGAUGUCGCUCCGGUUUACAAACUGGAUAAUUCUUAUAACAGACUGCGAUUUAAAUCCGUUUGAGUGGAGGAGUUAUCCGACGUUCUGAAUCGAUCGUAAACCGUACAAGAGGCAAGUUUCUUGUACAGAUAUACACACUGAGGUAAGUCUUCAUUAAGAUCGAGAUCAGCACACACUAGUGUUUCAUGGCCGUACCAGUUACGGCGUGUGUGUGUGUGUGUGUGUG